This 369-nucleotide ribosomal RNA is filed under the name uncultured eukaryote. RNAcentral's name for it is "partial 18S ribosomal RNA". It matches the Rfam family "Eukaryotic small subunit ribosomal RNA", at positions 592 to 976 of the family's 1831-position model. The record is from RNAcentral.
CAAUAGCGUAUAUUUAAGUUGUUGCAGUUAAAAAGCUCGUAGUUGGACCUUGGACCUGGACAGGCGGUCCGCCUCACGGCGAGUACUGUCUUGCUGGUCUUUCCUCUUGGUGAUCUGUUGUUUCGGCAGCAGGGAACCAGGACCUUUACUUUGAAAAAAUUAGAGUGUUCAAAGCAGGCUCGACGCCGGAAUAUAUUAGCAUGGAAUAAUAAAAUAGGACGUGCGGUUCUAUUUUGUUGGUUUUUGGAAUCGCCGUAAUGAUUAAUAGGGACAGUCGGGGGCAUUAGUACUCACAUGCUAGAGGUGAAAUUCUUGGAUUUUGUGAAGACUAACUUCUGCGAAAGCAUUUGCCAAGGAUGUUUUCAUUAA